Calidris pugnax (ruff) is the source of this 747-nucleotide long non-coding RNA. RefSeq lists it as uncharacterized. The record is from RefSeq and is a predicted model, not a curated record. The transcript has 4 exons. NCBI's taxonomy places the organism in Eukaryota, Metazoa, Chordata, Aves, Charadriiformes, Scolopacidae.
UGGCCAACGCGCCGGGAUCUGAAGAAAGAACUCAGGCACGUUCUCCAUGGAGAUGGGAGGACUUCCCAGUGCUUGAAGGAAGUAAAAAAGAAGCAAACCCCCCCAAAAGCUUGAAGGAAGCAAAAGGUGGUCAUGAAGACAGAGGUCCUCCUUGGAGGAAAAUUGUGGCUUUUGACCAAUUCUGCUCAGAAACGUCCCCAUCCACGAUGGCUGUGCCUCUUCUCAGACCUUGUUGACUUUAUCAUCCCAGGAGAAGUGUCUCGGGCCACCCAGCUGAGAAGGAACGCUCGGAUGAAGGAGAAGAGCCCAAGCGUGUCCGUAGGAGGAAGAUGACUUAAGCCUUCAGCCCUUAUCUGCAACCAGCGAGAGCGUGAAGAGGAAAGCUGCUCGGAAUGAAAAGCUCCAAGAAAACAGGCUUCACGUAUUUCAUGGCUCACGGAAUUAUGUGUUUUCAAACUUUGGGUUUUUUUUUCUUCUGCCUGAACAGAAUUCUUGGGUUUUCAGCCAACUUUAAUGAAAGCAGAGGAAAGAAGCGCCGUAAAAGUGGAAUAAUGGCUAUAUUCUACUCAGCAUUCGGCAAGAUGUUUGGAUAGUAUGGGUCAGGUCUUCCAGUGCCCGGUGUAUUUGCCAAAAAUUCCCAAAUCUUCAUCUGCAUUUACGUGAUUCUUUCACCGAGGUUAACCCAUUGGGUUUUGGAUGGAAAAACUCCAGGAACCUCCCCAGACAGACGCAGGAGGCUGCAGGACA